RNAcentral lists this ribosomal RNA (450 nucleotides) under uncultured bacterium. RNAcentral's name for it is "bacterial SSU rRNA". It matches the Rfam family "Bacterial small subunit ribosomal RNA", at positions 354 to 796 of the family's 1533-position model. The record is from RNAcentral.
GUGGGGAAUAUUGGACAAUGGGCGAAAGCCUGAUCCAGCCAUGCCGCGUGUGUGAAGAAGGUCUUCGGAUUGUAAAGCACUUUAAGUUGGGAGGAAGGGCAGUAAGUUAAUACCUUGCUGUUUUGACGUUACCGACAGAAUAAGCACCGGCUAACUUCGUGCCAGCAGCCGCGGUAAUACGAAGGGUGCAAGCGUUAAUCGGAAUUACUGGGCGUAAAGCGCGCGUAGGUGGUUUUGUAAGUUGGAGGUGAAAUCCCCGGGCUCAACCUGGGAACUGCCUCCAAAACUGCAUGACUAGAGUACGGUAGAGGGUAGUGGAAUUUCCUGGGUAGCGGUGAAAUGCGUAGAUAUAGGAAGGAACACCAGUGGCGAAGGCGACUACCUGGACUGAUACUGACACUGAGGUGCGAAAGCGUGGGGAGCAAACAGGAUUAGAAACCCUUGUAGUCC